RNAcentral lists this long non-coding RNA (366 nucleotides) under Elaeis guineensis (African oil palm). RNAcentral describes it as "long non-coding RNA (EGUI_LNC050560)". The record is from RNAcentral. Lineage: Eukaryota; Viridiplantae; Streptophyta; Magnoliopsida; Arecales; Arecaceae.
CGUAGGAGUCCGGACGAAAUUUACCUGUAAGUGAAGUCGUGGGCAGAGCUCGGCUCCCGUAGGGGUCCGGGUGAAGCCUUUCAGCAGUUGAGGUUGGGAAUGAAGUUCGGCUCCCGUAGGAGUCCGGACGAAGUCUCCCUGUAGCUGGCGAGAUCAAGCUCCCGUAGGAGUCUGGUCAAAGUCUACCUGCAAUUAAAGUCAGAGGCGAGGUCCAGCUCUCGUAGGAGUCCGGACGAAGUCUCCUUGUAGCUGGCGAGAUCAGUCUCCCGUAGGAGUCCGGUCAAAGUCUACCUGCAAUUAAAGUCAGAGGCGAGGUCCGGCUCUCGUAGGAGCCCGGACGAAGUUUACCUGCAAGCGAAGUCGGGG